This 504-nucleotide ribosomal RNA is filed under the name uncultured bacterium. RNAcentral's name for it is "partial 16S ribosomal RNA". It matches the Rfam family "Bacterial small subunit ribosomal RNA", at positions 29 to 523 of the family's 1533-position model. The record is from RNAcentral.
AUUGAACGCUGGCGGCAGGCCUAACACAUGCAAGUCGAACGGUAGCACAGAGAGCUUGCUCUCGGGUGACGAGUGGCGGACGGGUGAGUAAUGUCUGGGAAACUGCCCGAUGGAGGGGGAUAACUACUGGAAACGGUAGCUAAUACCGCAUGACGUCGCAAGACCAAAGUGGGGGACCUUCGGGCCUCACACCAUCGGAUGUGCCCAGAUGGGAUUAGCUAGUAGGUGGGGUAAUGGCUCACCUAGGCGACGAUCCCUAGCUGGUCUGAGAGGAUGACCAGCCACACUGGAACGGAGACACGGUCCAGACUCCUACGGGAGGCAGCAGUGGGGAGUAUUGCACAAUGGGCGCAAGCCUGAUGCAGCCAUGCCGCGUGUAUGAAGAAGGCCUUCGGGUUGUAAAGUACUUUCAGCGGGGAGGAAGGCGGUGAAGUUAAUAACUUCACCGAUUGACGUUACCCGCAGAAGAAGCACCGGCUAACUCCGUGCCAGCCGCCGCCGUAA